RNAcentral lists this ribosomal RNA (290 nucleotides) under uncultured bacterium. RNAcentral describes it as "partial 16S ribosomal RNA". It matches the Rfam family "Bacterial small subunit ribosomal RNA", at positions 28 to 307 of the family's 1533-position model. The record is from RNAcentral.
GACGAACGCUGGCGGCGUGCUUAACACAUGCAAGUCGAGCGGUAAGGCCCUUUCGGGGUACGACGAGCGGCGAACGGGUAGGAGUAACACGUGGGUGGACCUCGCCCUCCAGCUCUGGGAGUAAGACCUACGGAAACUAGGGUCGUAAUAACUGGAUAUGACUCCAUGACGCAUGUUGUGGGGUGGAAAGCCUUGUGCGGCUGAGGAUGGGCCCGCGGCCUAUCAGCUUGUUGGUGGGGUGGAUGGCCUACCAAGGCGACGACGGGUAGCCGGCCUGAGAGGGCGACCGG